GUGCCUGGUUCUCUUCUUGGAC
Molecule: microRNA, 22 nt
Filed under: Gorilla gorilla gorilla polyomavirus 1
Lineage: Floreoviria; Shotokuvirae; Cossaviricota; Papovaviricetes; Sepolyvirales; Polyomaviridae
Description: gggpv1-miR-P1-3p
Gene: gggpv1-miR-P1-3p
Source: miRBase by way of RNAcentral